This 73-nucleotide transfer RNA is filed under the name Minisyncoccota bacterium. RNAcentral's name for it is "tRNA-Gly". It matches the Rfam family "tRNA". From Rfam's summary of the family: Transfer RNA (tRNA) molecules are approximately 80 nucleotides in length. Their secondary structure includes four short double-helical elements and three loops (D, anti-codon, and T loops). Lineage: Bacteria; Bacillati; Minisyncoccota. The record is from RNAcentral.
GCGGGUGUCGUAUAGUGGCUUAUUAUACUUCCUUGCCAAGGAAGAGAUGGGAGUUCGAUUCUCCUCACCCGCU